CWACRWCWCCGUGAGCAACCUGCCCCUGACUCUGGGAUAAGCGCUGGAAACGGCGUCUAAUACUGGAUACGAGUAGCGACCGCAUGGUCAGUUACUGGAAAGAUUUAUUGGUUGGGGAUGGGCUCGCGGCCUAUCAGCUUGUUGGUGAGGUAAUGGCUCACCAAGGCGUCGACGGGUAGCCGGCCUGAGAGGGUGACCGGCCACACUGGGACUGAGACACGGCCCAGACUCCUACGGGAGGCAGCAGUGGGGAAUAUUGCACAAUGGGCGCAAGCCUGAUGCAGCAACGCCGCGUGAGGGAUGACGGCCUUCGGGUUGUAAACCUCUUUUAGCAGGGAAGAAGCGAAAGUGACGGUACCUGCAGAAAAAGCGCCGGCUAACUACGUGCCAGCMGCCGCGGUAAUAMAA
Molecule: ribosomal RNA, 408 nt
Filed under: Microbacterium foliorum
Lineage: Bacteria; Bacillati; Actinomycetota; Actinomycetes; Micrococcales; Microbacteriaceae
Description: bacterial SSU rRNA
Rfam family: Bacterial small subunit ribosomal RNA
Source: RNAcentral